AUUGAACGCUGGCGGCAGGCCUAACACAUGCAAGUCGAACGGUAACAGGAAGAAGCUUGCUUCUUUGCUGACGAGUGGCGGACGGGUGAGUAAUGUCUGGGAAACUGCCUGAUGGAGGGGGAUAACUACUGGAAACGGUAGCUAAUACCGCAUAACGUCGCAAGACCAAAAAGGGGGACCUUCGGGCCUCUUGCCAUCGGAUGUGCCCAGAUGGGAUUAGCUAGUAGGUGGGGUAACGGCUCACCUAGGCGACGAUCCCUAGCUGGUCUGAGAGGAUGACCAGCCACACUGGAACUGAGACACGGUCCAGACUCCUACGGGAGGCAGCAGUGGGGAAUAUUGCACAAUGGGCGCAAGCCUGAUGCAGCCACGCCGCGUGUAUGAAGAAGGCCUUCGGGUUGUAAAGUACUUUCAGCGGGGAGGAAGGGAGUAAAGUUAAUACCUUUGCUCAUUGACGUUACCCGCAGAAGAAGCACCGGCUAACUCCGUG
Molecule: ribosomal RNA, 490 nt
Filed under: uncultured bacterium
Lineage: Bacteria
Description: partial 16S ribosomal RNA
Rfam family: Bacterial small subunit ribosomal RNA
Source: RNAcentral